Molecule: ribosomal RNA, 498 nt
Filed under: uncultured bacterium
Lineage: Bacteria
Description: partial 16S ribosomal RNA
Rfam family: Bacterial small subunit ribosomal RNA
Source: RNAcentral
GACGAACGCUGGCGGCAUGCCUAAUACAUGCAAGUCGAACGAAGAUGUUCUGUGCUUUCCGGGAAUUGGAGAGUGGCGAACGGGUGAGCAACACGAAGGGAACCUGCCCAGGGGAGGGGGAUGCCAAUAGGAAACGGAUGAUAAUACCGCAUAUGGCUUUGGAACGCCUGGUCCUGCGACGCACGCCGGCUUUUACUGUCCCUCGUGGGUUUCGCUGGGCCGUGUUAGCUAGUUGGUGAGGUAACGGCCUACCAAAGCGGUGAUACGUAGCCGAUCUGAGAGGGUGAUCAGCCACACUGGAACUGAGACACGGCCCAGACUCCUACGGGAGGCAGCAGUAGGGAAUCUUCCACAAUGGGCGAAAGCCUGAUGCAGCAAUGCCGCGUGAAUGAAGAAGGUCUUCGGAUCGUAAAGUUCUUUUAUUAGAGAAGAAGAAGUCAAGGUAAAUCUGUCGUUGCUUUGACGGUACCUAACCAGAAAGCCACGGCUAACUACGUG